GUGCUCACUUUGGCAGCACACAUACUGAAGGUGGAAUGAUACAGAGAAGAUUAACAUGGCCCCUGUGCAAGGAUGACAUGCAAAUUUGUGGGAAAAAAAAAGAAAAAUAUU
RNAcentral lists this small nuclear RNA (111 nucleotides) under Castor canadensis (American beaver). Lineage: Eukaryota; Metazoa; Chordata; Mammalia; Rodentia; Castoridae. The record is from RNAcentral.